UACGGGAGGCAGCAGUGGGGAAUAUUGCACAAUGGGCGCAAGCCUGAUGCAGCCAUGCCGCGUGUAUGAAGAAGGCCUUCGGGUUGUAAAGUACUUUCAGUCGUGAAGGAAGGUGUUAAGGUUAAUAACCUUAGCAAUUAGACGUUAGCGACAGAAGAAGCACCGGCUAACUCCGUGCCAGCAGCCGCGGUAAUACGGAGGGUGCGAGCGUUAAUCGGAAUUACUGGGCGUAAAGGGCACGCAGGCGGUUAAUUAAGUUGGAUGUGAAAUCCCCGGGCUUAACCUGGGAAUGGCAUUCAAGACUGGUUAGCUAGAGUCUUGUAGAGGGGGUAGAAUUCCAUGUGUAGCGGUGAAAUGCGUAGAGAUGUGGAGGAAUACCGGUGGCGAAGGCGGCCCCUGGGACAAAGGACUGACGCUCAUGUGCGAAAGCGUGGGGAGCAAAC
RNAcentral lists this ribosomal RNA (443 nucleotides) under uncultured bacterium. Its description in RNAcentral is "bacterial SSU rRNA". It matches the Rfam family "Bacterial small subunit ribosomal RNA", at positions 340 to 773 of the family's 1533-position model. The record is from RNAcentral.